GGCAUGGUGUAGUGGUUUGAGUGUUGGACUAUGACUCUGAAGAGCAGGGUUUGAAUCCCCGCUCUGCCA
RNAcentral lists this transfer RNA (69 nucleotides) under Phrynosoma platyrhinos (Desert horned lizard). Its description in RNAcentral is "tRNA-OTHER". Lineage: Eukaryota; Metazoa; Chordata; Lepidosauria; Squamata; Phrynosomatidae. The record is from RNAcentral.